Molecule: long non-coding RNA, 652 nt
Filed under: Salvia miltiorrhiza (redroot sage)
Lineage: Eukaryota; Viridiplantae; Streptophyta; Magnoliopsida; Lamiales; Lamiaceae
Description: long non-coding RNA (SMIL_LNC005873)
Source: RNAcentral
CAUAAACUAUUAACACAAAACACACCCAAGUCUACAAUAUAACUAAGAGUCUGAAGAGAUGUGACAACCAAUUCUAGCAGCAAAAAGCACAAAACACGCCCAAUUCUGCUUCCUAAGCAUAUUUUCUGGCAGCAAAAGAUAUAUUCCAGCAGCAAAAAACAUCCAAGUAAAAUGACCAAAUAUGUGUACACAUUUUGCUAUUUAAGUUCUAUUUUCUUGAGUGGUCUUCUCAAUUGCUGAACUUGAAGUGGUGGUCUUCUUCAUUGGGUUGACAAAUGUAGUCCUCUUGUGAUAUGGCAUCUUCAUGUAUAUAUUCCCAGAUUCACACUGCAUCACACCAUAGCCUUGGGAAGCAACCCUCUUUUAUUUUCUAACCAAAGUUUGAUGUGCGGCUUCAUUGCCUUUUGAAGUGCUUCUUGCAUUUGAUGUUGAUGGUUCAACUAUUUAUUGUGGUGCUUGUGUUUUGCGUGGUCUUCCUCUUUCACCCUAGCAACAAUGAGAUACAAUUGUUAGUAUAAGAUUGACUGAAAAAGUUUUAAAAAUAGAUGAAGAAAGAACAUAAUAUAACCUUUGUUUUAGGUUGCUUGUCAACAAGUGUAUUUUUGCAUCCUCUGCUGUUAUGACCUUGCUGAAAACACUUUUGGCAUGUCAU